AAUGUACAUUCUAAAGCAAAUACUCCACAUUCUAAAGACAGCAACCAACAGUGGGGCCAGACAUCUUCCAAGGUCAUUUUGAGAGACUUGGACUUAUACCAUCCACACUCCUGGUUCUCAGGCCUUCAGUCUCAGACUGGAACUCACACCACCAGCUUUCCUGGGUCUCCAGUUUGCAGACAGCAGAGCAGUAGAUCAUGGGACUUCUCAGCCUCCAUAACUGAAAAGAGAGAGAAAGUUAUCACCCAAACUGGAUCACGGAGACAUACAUGUGAAAAGGUGCUUCAAGCAGAGGAUUUGCGUAUGGUCCUAAUCCCCCACUGCGUGUACGUGAAGCUAUCUGCCAGGUGAAAGCACAUGGAGGAUGGAGGAAUACAGUGAAAAGGAAAUGAGAACACAGUAGCCCCCUGUUGGAAACCCAGCUGUAAUUUCUAGCAUUCAGAUACAUCAUGGGGCACAUCACGACCUUGAACCAUAAACAUAUAU
Molecule: long non-coding RNA, 486 nt
Filed under: Equus caballus (horse)
Lineage: Eukaryota; Metazoa; Chordata; Mammalia; Perissodactyla; Equidae
Description: lncRNA (ENSECAG00000049610.1)
Source: RNAcentral